CUCUCUCGCUCUCUCUCUCCCCAUCACUUUCUUUCUUUCUCUCAAGCACUCCUCGAACCCUCUCUCUCAUCUGCAACGCAUGCUCCUCCUCAUCCCCAAGCUUAACAACAACAACAACAACCCUUCCCACUAGACGUAGGGAUCUCGAGAAACCCAAGUAAACCUUUGUGGAACCCCAAAAAUGACAGAGUCACUAUUCACCGUCUUCCCUGUCGGACUCUGACGUGUUUUGUGACUUUUUCGACGUUGGGUCGGGCGUGUCAUCUACUGUGGAGAUGAUGUGUUAUACUUAAAGGUGACCUAUCGUCAGGAACACUCAUGUCAUUCUCAAGUUGGGAAACCACUUUUUUUCCUUUGAAAUAUUCAACCAAGAACCUAGUCUUAAGUCCAAGGUAAGGCUUCACCACCACCUACAUAGCGAAACCCAAACCCCCCAAACCAAUCUUCUCAACUUUCAGUGUUGAUGGCCGUAAAUUGAAACUCAAAAACUCAUCUUCUCAACUCUAUAUUCUAUAAUAAAUAGAAAUCAAACGAAAAAAAAAAAAA
Long non-coding RNA from Pyrus x bretschneideri (Chinese white pear), 546 nucleotides. RefSeq lists it as uncharacterized. The record is from RefSeq and is a predicted model, not a curated record. The transcript is spliced from 2 exons. Lineage: Eukaryota; Viridiplantae; Streptophyta; Magnoliopsida; Rosales; Rosaceae.